AGCGCAGGCGGAUUAGUAAGUCAGUGGUGAAAGCCUUGAGCUUAACUCGAGAACUGCCAUUGAUACUAUUAGUCUUGAAUGUUGUUGAGGUUUGCGGAAUGGGUCAUGUAGCGGUGAAAUGCAUAGAUAUGACCCGGAACACCUAUUGCGAAGGCAGCAGGCUAAACAAAUAUUGACGCUGAGGCUCGAAAGCGUGGGGAUCAAACAGGAUUAGAUACCCUGGUAGUCCACGCCCUAAACGAUGAUUACUCGACAUACGUGAUAUGACAAUGUGUGUCUGAGCGAAAGCAUUAAGUAAUCCACCUGGGAAGUACGACCGCAAGGUUGAA
RNAcentral lists this ribosomal RNA (329 nucleotides) under uncultured Sphingobacteriales bacterium. RNAcentral's name for it is "bacterial SSU rRNA". It matches the Rfam family "Bacterial small subunit ribosomal RNA", at positions 568 to 898 of the family's 1533-position model. Lineage: Bacteria; Pseudomonadati; Bacteroidota; Sphingobacteriia; Sphingobacteriales. The record is from RNAcentral.